UAUAUAAAUGUGGCGGCCCUCAGGUC
This 26-nucleotide non-coding RNA is filed under the name Mus musculus (house mouse). Lineage: Eukaryota; Metazoa; Chordata; Mammalia; Rodentia; Muridae. The record is from RNAcentral.